Molecule: long non-coding RNA, 1219 nt
Organism: Musa acuminata AAA Group (dessert banana)
Lineage: Eukaryota; Viridiplantae; Streptophyta; Magnoliopsida; Zingiberales; Musaceae
Exons: 3
Source: RefSeq, a predicted model, not a curated record
AUGCUUGGUCUCACUCCGCCUCCUCCCCGACACCCACAGCCACACCACCCGUUUCACCUAAUAUGGAGAAUCCGAUUCGUUUCCAUGUUUCCAGCCCUAAUCCUCCAAUCUAUCUCGCCCUUCCUACCAUCCUCCGCCCCGCGGCCGCACGGCCGACUGCUGCAUACCUCCGUGAUUCCAACGGCGUCCAUUACCUCUGCUUGCAGGCUGAGACAGGCAAUUGACACAGCGCAAAGUCGUUAACAUCCAUCGACUUAUCAUGCAUGCUGCUCUGGAAGAGGAAGUUAUGAACCUGCAGAAGUCCAAAGUAACAUUUGCUGAUGAUGUUAUCAAUGCAGAGAAUGCAGUCCUGAAAACCAUGAACACAGACCAAUUGCUCAAUCUUUUUUGCUUCUUCACCAACCGUUCGAAUGGUAAGUUACAUUGCUUGUUGUGCAUGUUCAAUUUCUUUCUAGAAUUGCUUUUUUAUGUAGCCAAAUCACAGUUCAUCCGAUAUAAUUAAUUUCCUUGGUCUUGGUAUUUUGACAUGAAAACAAUUGUGUAAUGAUAUGUCUGAAAGAACAUGGAGAAGGGAACUCCAGCUUCAAGCAGCUCCAGUAAUGACGUGAACAAAACUUAAGCCAGCCCUCGGAAAAGCUUAAUGGCUGAGUCUUGAAGGAUAUUGCAGUUUAAUGUCGAUUCCAUUUUUCGAGAAUUUGCCUAUGUUACUACUUGGAGUUGUCAACAAGGAGAUACGCUCUAUUCAAGUUUAGCAAACUCAACCCGAGGAGGUCUAAACCAAGCUCAUUUCUGAUGGAGCAUUUGACGCAACAUCGAACCUAGCGGAGACGAAUGCUGAUGCAAGGACUGCUGGAUGUUUGUUUGUCGAAUGCAAGUUCAUACAAGAUGGUAGCUGUUGGACCGACGAACAUCUGGCCGUCUAGGAAGGAAUCUCCGCUGCAAUCCAACUAGGUGUACCUAAGCUUAUUAUUGAGACGAUGAUGAGUGGAUUGUAAUGCUUGUUUAAGGAGGAACCUCCUCUUGGUUCCUCCUAAACUGUGUUCGGAAAAUUUUUGCAUCCCUUCUUAUUUUUGUUAAUCAAAAGAUGGUUUAUAUUUCUAAAGAGUGCAAUCAAUGUGUCCUGAACUCAGAAGUUUUGUCUUCCCUUUGGAUCUGUCGUGUAUUAUCUAUCAUCUUUGAUGCUAAUGGGAAACUUUGUACUCGUUUUGUUGAGGUUUAA